GGGAGCCGUUUGGUCAGCGGAGCACCCUCCACGUGCCGGGCUCCCUGGCAGGCGCUGGACACGCGGCCGUCCUCUGGCCAGACACAGCCCCCAGCCCAGCGGGGGAGACCCACACACUCCCUUGCACAGCAGGGAGGUGACCCGGAGCAGGGGCUCACGAAGGCGGGGGGCACCUCCUGUUUCGCUCAGCUCCCCCCACCAAGAAGCCCUCGACAACCAGAACUGGCACCAGCGGCAACGCCGAGGGAGAGCCCAGGAGGGCAGGCCUCCGGGGGGGCCUUCUCCAAACAGGGGCCCUGCGAGCCGGAAGAAGCAAACUCCUGGGAGAGGAACCGCCUGGGCCAAGGCGUACGGGGUGCCGAGAAGGAGCCUGGAGAGGGCGCGGCUGGCGGGGAGGGUCCCCUUAGCGAGGAAGGUGUGUGGGGGCAGGUGCAGAGGCCACCGCGCAGCACGCGGAGGCCCAACCGGGCAGCUGGGGCUCGAGCCGGCAGCUGGUGGCCCGGGAGCGCCGCACCCUUGCUGUCCCACUUUGGCGAGAGUCUCCCUUUCCGGAAGGCACGAGCUGGAUUCUCCUCUUCUCUCAUCCCCUCCGGUGCAGGGCUGAGAACCCAACCCUGGAGAUGGAUCGAUAAGAGCUGCUGCUGCUCCCCGGCCCUGCCUCCCCACGCCCUGCUCCCACCUGGCUUCCGCUGUUGCCCUGGGCCAAUCCCAAUAGGUCAAAGGGAAGGCAGAAACGCCAGCCUCAGCCUGGGGCCACUCCUGCGAAGGCCCUCCCACCCCUUCUCCUUUCCGGUAAUGCGCUGUACUUCCCGUCACAGCUUCUAUCCCCUUUCAUCAUAAAGCCUUCAGUCGUCCUUCUUCAGUGUCCGGACUUGGUAGAUGCUAAUUGAACAUUGUUGUCGAAUGAAUCGAGUCCCAUCAAUUCCAUUUCCAUAAUAUUCCUUGGAUCCAACCCUCCUCCCCUCCCCUGGCCACCGCCCUUGCUCAGAUCUCAUCUUCCACCAGGACUAUCGAGCAGCCUCCUUCCUGGGCUGCCUGCCCGGUCAUCUUCACGCUGGACUCCACAGGGUCAUUCUCAAGUGCCCAUCUGACCAUGGGGCCGCCCUGCUGAGAACCCUCCGCUCACAGGAGUAAGACCACAGCUCUAGGAUGAUAAAACCAUGACAGCAGAUAUGACUGAUGGCGCUACUCUGGAAGAUAGGCAAAAAUACAAAAUUAGCAGUGCUACUCCAUUAAAUAAAGAUAAGAGGAGAUCGUGGGGCAAAGUGCAAAGCAGAGUUUGCACUAACCAGGUGGUGCAUGGGGAUGGAUUGAGAAACACAUUCUUGGAUGAUACACACCUGCUCCUCCCUCUGAAACAGAACAGCCUGUAUCGUUCUGUGUCCUCAGCCAACCACCCCCCACUCCCGCCUUUGUUGGAAGCUUUUUAAGAAUGAGGACCUUUUAUCUUGCUAUUCUCAAUGCCUAGCACAGGACUUGGUACAUGGUAGGUACUCAUGAAUAUUUGUUGACCGAAUGAAUCAGAUGAAUUAAUGAAGAAGCAGUCAAUGGUCCCUAAGUAGAUGAGAAAGACUACUACUCCCUGCUUACCCUUUCUUGGGGUUGCAGCGCAGCACUGAUCAGAUAGACUUUGGUCACACCCCAACAAAGGAAUUAUCUUCUGAGCGGUUGAAGGCACAGAUUCUGGGGCCAGACAGCCUAGCUAGAGUCCUGUUCCACUAUUCAUUAGCUGUGUGAGCUUGAGCAGGUUAUAGAACUUCUCUGUGCCUCAAGUUGUCAUAUGCAAAAUGGGAGUGGUAAUUAUCUUCAAGUGCUGUUUACGUACCAGCUAUUAUUGAUGAUGAUGAUGAUAAUAAUCCCCUAAUCUCCCCCAUCCCCAUCAGGUCCUCUUUUUCUAGAUCUACACCU
Molecule: long non-coding RNA, 1908 nt
Filed under: Dasypus novemcinctus (nine-banded armadillo)
Lineage: Eukaryota; Metazoa; Chordata; Mammalia; Cingulata; Dasypodidae
Description: lncRNA (ENSDNOG00000051953.1)
Source: RNAcentral